This is a long non-coding RNA of Hippocampus comes (tiger tail seahorse), 138 nucleotides long. RefSeq lists it as uncharacterized. The record is from RefSeq and is a predicted model, not a curated record. The transcript is spliced from 2 exons. NCBI's taxonomy places the organism in Eukaryota, Metazoa, Chordata, Actinopteri, Syngnathiformes, Syngnathidae.
UAACCUUGUAUCAUUAAUCUUAAAAUGAAGCCCGACAAAAAUGGAAAUGUUGACGAGGAUUGUGCUUUUCUGGAACAAGUUUUGGAUUCUUUAUACGAUUUCGGAAGUGGAGCUGGGAAAAGAAAAAAGAAGAAAAAG